This 318-nucleotide long non-coding RNA is filed under the name Phoenix dactylifera (date palm). RNAcentral describes it as "long non-coding RNA (PDAC_LNC010163)". The record is from RNAcentral. Lineage: Eukaryota; Viridiplantae; Streptophyta; Magnoliopsida; Arecales; Arecaceae.
GUGGAGGCACGGCGAUGGGUGGAGCGCAUCCAGUUGAUGAAUCUCUGUAUGGGUUACGUAUUGCAUCUCCGGUUAUCUCCGCCGACAAUUGAUUACGGAGGUGCGAGGCCCAAAUAGCUGAGGUUGAAGGACGGAUGGAGGACCUUGAGGGUAGGGACGCAACCCUCCGAGGUGAAAUCGCCGCUCAGCUGAACCAGAUUUCCUUCGAUAUGGAGCGGCGCUAUAAGGAAGUGCUGCGGCGUAACGAGGAGUUGGAGAUCAUGGUGAAGGCUCUCCAAAAUCAGGUGGUUGGCCUUUUAAAGGAGAGUACCACCACAG